GUAACUUUACUGGUUCAAUACAACAAACCAAAUCCUUUGACCUGAAAGGAAAUCUGGAACCUAAAAUGAAUUGAUGGCAGCAAAAACGACUAAUGACUCGA
Long non-coding RNA from Etheostoma spectabile (orangethroat darter), 101 nucleotides. RefSeq lists it as uncharacterized. The record is from RefSeq and is a predicted model, not a curated record. Lineage: Eukaryota; Metazoa; Chordata; Actinopteri; Perciformes; Percidae. The transcript has 3 exons.